AGCAGCAGAGGUGGAGGGGUGCAGAUACAGGUGAAGAAAUGCCAGAUCGCAUGCUGGUAGCCACGUGAAGGGAGGAGAGAGGCAGGGAACAGCUUCUCCCUCAGACCCUCCAGAAGGAACCAACACUGCCAACACCUGGAUUUCAGACUUCUGGCCUCCAGGACGAUUAGAAAUGAAUUAUUGUUUUUGGCCAUUUGAGUUUGUGGGAGAUGAUCCUGGGUUACCUGAGUGGCCCCAAAGAAUCACAAGAUCUUUCCAUGUGGCAGAAGGAGACAGGGAAAAGGAGAUGGUUCGAGAGGGACUCAGCCCCGAGGUGGCUGGCUUUGAAGACGGAGGAAGGAGCCACCAGUUAAGGAAUGCAGGUGGCCUCGAGGAGCUGGAGAAGGCCAGGAACAGGCUCGGCCUUGGAGCCUCCAGAAGGAAGCAGCCCUGCUGACACCUGGAUCCGAGCCCAGCGAGCCCCAUUUCAGGCUUCCGACCUCCAGGUCUGCCUGGAAGGGCUGUUUGGGAAGUCAAAUAAGACAGGAAAUGGAAACGGCUGGUCCUUAAUAAACAGUUUUAUCUCCCAGCUCUGUCCCCAUCCAGGAUUCCAAACACACAGUGUAAUUUCCGCCUGAAUGCUUCUCAUUCCAGCCUCCCAGUGAGGAGGCUCAUUGCUGGCCUGGGCUCUCCAGCGUCUGAGAGGAAAUCCAACCCGGAGGGUGGGUGGGGGGUCUUCGCCCUCUUUCCUGAAGCUAGGCCCUUUCAUCGCUAAGUGCUGAGAGGGACAUUUACUGAGCACCAGAUGGGGCUCUGCCCACACAGGACGCCAUGUAGCCCUCAGCAGUUCUACAAGGUACUGCUGCAGCAGUCUCCAUUUCACAGACGUGGAAACGAAGGCUCCGGAAAGGGAAGGGACUUGUCUAGGACCUCACCAUAAGUAAGGUGGCCCCCUGGUGUGCUGCAUGCGUGGGGGUGAAAUAGGGUGCGCUGUGCUGGGGCUGGAAGCAAGCCAUGACCCACUCAUGAGGACCUUCAGGGAGAGGCAACAGGUCCCUGUCUGCUCUCGUGGUCCAGGAGGCCAGAGAGAACCUGGGAGAUGUGGGGCAGGCCUCUGCUUGAAUCCCGGCACCAGACAGUGUGAUCUCAGGCCAGUCUCAUGCCUCUCUGCGCCUCCGUUUUCUCACAAGCAAGACGGGCACAGUGCCUUCCUUCAGCUCAGAGGGGAAGGACUCGUCCAGGUUCAUACAAGACGCCCGAAGUCCAAAAUCAACUUCCUGGGCUGAAAUCAAGGUGUUGGCAGGACUGGUUCCUUCUGGAGGCUCUGUCGGGAGCCCAUGACCCGCCUCUCCCGGCUUCUGGAGGCCACCUGCAUUCCUUGGCGUGCGACCUCUCCCUCCCAUGUCUCCAAGCUCUUGCUUCCAUUGUCCUGUCCCCUCUUCUCUAGUCAAAUCUCGCUCUUCUCAGGACACUUGUGAUUACAUUUAGGGCCCACCUGAGUAAUCCAGGAAACACACACACUACAUGUAGGCAACAUCAGAAAUGAGCUAGAAGGCUGGAUUCCGAAAAAGCUUUAGGUGGUUGUAUCUAUGAGUGGUGGGACGGUGAAUAAUUGGUGUCAUCUUUUUGCUUAUCUGCCAGUUACAUUUAUGUACAACAAACAUCAAUUAUUUGCAUAAUCAAGGUGAAAUUUAAAAAUGUAACAAUCUAACCAAAACGAACCAGAAUCCUCCUGAUUCUUGAAGCCCUCCUGACUCCCAGGGAGGAGGGGGCUCGCCUUUCUCGUGAUUCCCUUCCCUUCUUACUUCCUGGAGCUCCUGACCGUGAGCUCUGGAAGACCAGCUGGAAACAGGGCAGGGAGUGUGUUCUGAGAACAGACAGCACACCCGCCCCUCAUAUGUUGACUGGGCACAUCGACUCUGUGCAAUCUUCUCAUCCCUGAUGGUACUAAUCCCAUGGAGGUUAACUGACCUCCAAGGGCUGGCCCAAGGAUGAGCAAGGAUGGGGUUUGCCCAAGGUCACAGCAGGCAAUGCAGGGUUCCCACCUCAGGCCUUCUGCCACCAUCAAGGCCAUAGGGGACAUGCCAUGACCUGAGUAUAACCAAGAUGGGGCAGGGGGUACUGGCAUGAGGUCCUUUUCCCUAAGAGGUGUGGCUUUUCUUACCUGCCCAUCUUCAAACCCUUGCAUGCCAAACCCACUUUACCGAUGGGCAAAUAGAGUCCCCAAGUAAUGAAGACGGCCCAGAGGAGAUGCAAUUCCAGAGUUGACCACAAGGUGGCAGCAGCAGGCCAUGGUCCCACCACCCACAGGGCUUUGCAUCCUGUGGGAAAACACUCCUGGGGGCCAAGCCAAGGAACAAGGAAAACUGAGGCAGGGUUGUCACCUCUUCUGGGAGAUACUCUGAAAAAAGCAGAGCUCACUUGGUGUCCCAUGGUAGCCUUGGGUUGACUAGCCAGUCUCCAGCCCAAGUCACAGAGAAUGGCUCUAGCUAGUAGCACAGUCCUUGGGCUUUUCUAUUCAGAGGGUGGGGAUGACGUAGGCAUGCUCCUCUGUGCCUGCAGCAGCCCCAGAGGAAAGGCCCCAGUCAGGAGUCGGGCCCCUGUCCCCAGCAUGGUUCAACCACUAACCGUACCCUCUUCUGCAAAAUGCGGAGACAGAAGAAAACAUCUCCGUGCUAUGUGAAAACAGGGAAAGGGGAGAUGGCUAAUACCUGGGGCCUCACCUGCACCCGGGCCCUCCUUCGUGGAACUGGGCCUCCAGGGGAAGCUGAGGCUGGGGAUCACAAUAGCUGGGCUGAGCAGGGCAGGGAGCACAGGGCGGGGGUGGGGGGGCUGUGGCAGUGAGACUCUCCCCUGGUCACAAUGUCAUGGACAGAAGGUGGACACCUUGUCCCAAGCCGGGCACAUCAGAUGCUCCCUUUGGGGAAUUUGGAACUAAGACAAAGUAAGGACAAGUCUGCCUCCUUGAACAACUGGAAAGGUACCAAGUAACUCCCGGUGAGAUUCGAGGAUGGCCGGAAAAGGCUGGCUGUGAAGAGAAGAGAAAGUGGGAUGCAGAACAGCAGGCCCCCCAUGGUGCUCCUGGCCUAGUUCCUGUCCUGCUGAGGGAGGCACCCCAGGCCCCCUGGAGCAGGAACAGCAUUCUGGACACAGUGCUGGCUCUGGGGACCCUGAUACCUGUUGGCCCCUCGGAGGCAGCCUCCAGGGCUCCUUAUGUCACAGGCUGGUGUGGUCUCGGGAUUUGGCUUGUCUCCUUCCUCCCACAGCCCCAGGGGGACAGGAAGGGAGACCCCCCUCGCCCCCCCCGCCUGGUACUUCACAACACAGGCCGGGCCAGUGGGCUGUGGUAUGUGUGUGCAGUGGCGCACUCUGCAGCCGUCAAGAAUGAGCCAGCGUGACCUGUGCUGACAGACAGAUGGUCACAAGAGAUUGAGAACAGGCAGGUGGCAGACCGGGUCUGCUGGAGACACCAAGGCCGCUGAUUCCAGAGGUUGUGCUGUCUGCCUCCAGAGUGCUCAUCACAUUUUCACCUUAUUUACAUAUUUGCUAUUACAGGGUACAUGAA
Hipposideros armiger (great roundleaf bat) is the source of this 3544-nucleotide long non-coding RNA. RefSeq lists it as uncharacterized. Lineage: Eukaryota; Metazoa; Chordata; Mammalia; Chiroptera; Hipposideridae. The record is from RefSeq and is a predicted model, not a curated record. The transcript has 3 exons.